GUGGGCUCUGACCGGUAAGCGGUCAUGGCGAAAUGGGAUGAACCAUACGUCUGAAUAAGGUGCCGAAAUGUACUAUCACUGAUACCAUAAAGGGAGUCCAUGUAUUUAGACAGCAGGUCGGUGCCCCUAAAAGCAGGUAUCCGCUAAAGAGUGUGUUAAAACUCACCUGCCGAAUACUAGGGCCCCGAAAAUGAAUGGCGCAUAUAGUACUACCGAUCUCAGACAUCAGUUCUAUUGAACUGAGAGUAGGGGGAUGUGGACAUUUUUGUGAAGGUGCAAUGUGAGUUGGACUGGAAGAAUGUCUAUUACAGAUCCUAAUUGAAGUAGCGAUUAUCCAGGCUUGUAUCCUGGGGGCUGAUGAGGAGUAGGGUUUCUGGACAACUUAAACAGAUCCAGAGUUAGUCGAUCCUAAUCUCAAUAAUGGGAGAAAGGGAGUACAGUUGAUAUUCUGUAACUGACAACAGUUCGCGGCAACGCAUACUAUUUUUCUCCGCCAAUCUUAUACCGUUGGUAGGGAUCUCUUUCCUACAUGACAGUACUAAUACCCAGGGAAACUGGUCAUCAGGCGAACUGCGGCGUUCUGCUGGCAAAACAUAGCUUCGGUUAUGUCAAUGGCUAUUGGAUUGGUCCAUGAAGCGAAAAAUAGUUUACUGUGUCACUCGUACCGAUAACCGCAUCAGGUCUUCUAGGUAAGUAGCCUAUGGCCAUUGAGGCAUGAUAGUUCAGGGAAUUCGGCCAAUUAGAGCUGUAACUUCGGGAUAAAGCUUGGCUCUGAUGAAAAUCAGAACCGAUUGUUACGCGGAGAGCCCAACUGUUUAAUAAAAACGUAGUGUCGCGCUGUGGUAGUAUAGCCAGUGAACGCGACAUGAAUCCUGCUCAGUGCUGUGUCUGUUAAUAUGGUUCAAGCCAACGAAGCACCGGUAAAUAGCUGGGGUAACUAUGACUCUUAUCAAAGUAGCGAAAUACCUCGUCACUUAAUAGUGACCUGCAUGAACGGAGCUAUGAGGUUCUCACUGUCCCAAACUGUCUCUCUCAGCGA
RNAcentral lists this non-coding RNA (1039 nucleotides) under Trichomonas vaginalis G3. RNAcentral's name for it is "Eukaryotic large subunit ribosomal RNA". It matches the Rfam family "Eukaryotic large subunit ribosomal RNA", at positions 1126 to 2362 of the family's 3401-position model. Lineage: Eukaryota; Parabasalia; Trichomonadida; Trichomonadidae. The record is from Rfam by way of RNAcentral.